Molecule: long non-coding RNA, 5522 nt
Filed under: Triticum aestivum (bread wheat)
Lineage: Eukaryota; Viridiplantae; Streptophyta; Magnoliopsida; Poales; Poaceae
Description: long non-coding RNA (TAES_LNC008737)
Rfam family: Plant small nucleolar RNA R71 (bases 3702-3805)
Source: RNAcentral
ACAUGAACAUAUAUAUAACUCGCUAACAUAUAACAGGGGGAAGAAACAUAAUUAUGUGAUGAGAGAAAGAAGCUUCACAUCACCAACAUAUAUGUCAAAGGGACAAAGCUAGCACUGAUCACACAUAACAUGCACUAUAUCUUACAAGUACGAUACUGAACAAAUAUCAGGUUGCAAGAUCUUAUCAAAUCUGAAUAUUACAUGUACUACACGUCUCAAAUUUCAGAAAAUUCAGAGAUUAGAGGGAGAAAGAGAGAUAGCAGCAGCAAGAUUGAGGAGAGAGCAUCAACAAAGGGAGGUUGAGAGAGAGAUUCAGCAGAGGGUGUUGGAGAAGGAGAAGCAGCAGGGGGUGUAGCAAUAGAGAAGCAGCAAGGGGGCGCUGAGAGAAGAAGAGGCGCAAGGAGAGAGGUUGAGAGCAGCAGCAGCGGCAGGUAGAAGAAGUUGAGCGGAGGAGGAGCAGCAGUAGGGACGAGGGGAGGAGCAGCAGCGAAGGGGUUGAGAGAGAGAGAGAGACAGCAGGAGGUUGGAGUUCGGAGCAGCAGCAGCGUGGAGAGUUGAGAGAGCAGCAGCAGAGAAAUAGAAGAAGGAGCAGUAGCUUGGGCGCAAGAAGAGCAGCAGGGCGCAUAGGAAGAAGGAGCAGCAGCAGGUUGCAUGGAAGAAGGAGCAGCAGCAGGGGACGUUGAGAGAGAAGAGGAGCAAGAUCGGGGCAGCAAGGAGGAGAGAGGCGCUUGGUGCUGAUGGCGGCAGUGGCUGGAGAUGGUGGCGCUAGUGGAGUGGUGGAUGGAGGCUGCUGGUGGUGGGUAUGCUGGUGGAUGGAUGGGUGACGGAGGCGCACCACCACGUCGGCCUGGCCAUGGCGGCGGCCGGAGUUGGAUAAGGAGGGGUGAGGGAGAGAGAGAUGUGCCAGGCCCGAUUGGAUCCCUCCAGCGCCUAGGGAUUUUGUUCCCCUCCUCUCAUCUGCACUUUGUGAUUUGGCCCUCUUACUUCUCUUCUUUCUUCACAAGAAGAUCCUCCCACUUCUUCAGCUUGCCCCUGGUAACUUCUUUUCUUCUCUCUCGGGUCCUUGACUCCAUCACUUGAUCUUUUGUAGUAGAAGGAUUUUGUGCCUUGUCACACUUUUCUGCAAAAUAAACAAGUGACUAGUCAACAAUCCUUUUAUAUGAUUUUCAUUCAAUUAUUCCAUAUUUAAAACAAGAAUUGGUGGUCAGAACUCAACAAAUGGUAUAUUUGUAUGCCAAAAUUAUGUAUAAGAAAUGUGCUUAUCAAGUUCCCCCACACCUAAAUCUUUACUUGUCCUCAAGUAAAGGCAUAUGACAAGGGCAAGAUGGUGAAUAGUGACCUGACUAGAGAACGCCAAGUGAAGUAGAUCUCCAAACUAUGCAUGCUUUGGACUUAGUUAGUGAGAAUCAAUGGUUAAAAGUGUUACAAAGCAGUAGGAUACUAGUAGACUCAAUCAUUUUAAAAUUCUACAAUGGUAAAAGAAGAUCAACAAGUUCAAAUGAUGAUUGUGCCAAAUGGUUCCUAAAGAGAGCAUGAUCCCAAGAACAAAGCUUGUGAUCAAAUCACUUAUUUACAGAAAUAAAGCAAUGAUAUUAUUAUUACUAGCAAAAAGGCUCAUGCGUUGCAACGGGAGAAAAAAAUCCUCUCAUAUCUCUAGCUGGGUCAGUUGGACAAACUGUGUGUGGCCGGUUCGCAGGUUACGAGAUCGAACCUGUCAUCGGCAAUUCUAUUUUGUGCCAGCUCUCGGACCUGGGCCUCAGUGCGUCGCCAGGUGGGCAUUCUCCGUUGGGCCAAAACGGGUGGCAAGUAACGAAACCAAAUAGCGUACGUGAAAUUAAUUGAAGCGGGACCAAACGAAGCGGGACGAAACCAAGAAUAUCACCUCCCUUUAAUAGUAAAUUAGUCUCACCAAAGGAACAUACCACCGAUCCCGAGAACAUGGUAUACACCCGGCUCAACUAAUUAUUAGUUUUAGUUUUGUUUGUCUCCCCAAAGGAACAUACCACCGAUCCAGAGAACAUGGUAUACACCUGGUUCGACAAUUACAAUGUUUUUAAUAUAAUUAACUCUUAUCCAAUCCAACCAUAUUUCACAAGCCACCGAUCCAGGGAACAUGACAUGCUACUGUUAGGUAAGAUCAGAUAAUUAUUCAUUAUAAGAUUUUUUUUAAUGAACAACACAUAAGCACAAAAAACAGGAAUCCUCACUUCUCCAUGUCUGGUUCACAUGCUACCGAUCCAGGGAACAUAGCAUGCUAAUCCAUAGUGGUUAGGUGAUUGCUCUAAAUGGGAACACACUUGGCACAAAUUCGGCAUCUAAACAUGGUAAUCUAGGUGUAUCAUAGUAAAUGCAGAAAAUGACAUAGUUUACUAGUGCACUAGGGAUUUGAGCACUCAAAACUAAUAGUUCUCACUAAUUUCAGCAAAGCACGCAUGGUGUAGAUCACUAGUUUACAAGGCAUUCAACAAUCAGUUCGCAUAUUCUCAUCAAGCACCAUAUGUCAAAGGUGAAAUUCAGUGGGACAACAUUUAAGAAAUGGCACAAGCAACCCAAAUAAAAAUUUAAUUCAGCAAGCAUCAAUGGAUGAUGAUUUCAAAAUGGGUCAUGAAACAGCUCACCAGGCUUUGAUGAUGUAGCACUCGCUCGAUCACCUCACCAACUGCAGCUCCUCUCCUUUUGCUUCCUCAUACAUGCUCCAGCUUCACUCUUCCUCAUGUGUGCACAUUGCUUCUCCUCAUCACCAUGCCGUGAAUCCACCAGGAUCCCAUGGGAUGUCAUCUCGAACUUGGUCAGCCCGCAAUGAAUGGUGCACAAGCGUAAACCUGAAAGAACACUCAACAAACAAGCCAAAACAAGUGAUAGGGACAAUGCCCUCCAAGUCAUCAAUAGAGUAUCCUAUCACAUAAGCAUAUCUAUUGAGCAUAUCAUACACAUGUAUCAUCAAUUCACUUGGUGCAUAGGUAAUAUCAACGAUAUGACAUAACUUGUCGAGAAAGCUAAGAUAAUACCUGGGAUGAUCUGAGAGAAGUUUUAGGACUACCUUAGUUGAAGAUACUAUGGAAGGCAUGGUAGUAGAAACUUCCACCAGACUCGUGUCAACAAGUGAAAUAUUAGAGUUUGGCUUCUUGACAUCUAGAUCAACCUCAUCAUAAUCAACAAUGCAGGUUUCCAUCUCAGGCUCAAGUGUUGAGGAAUCAAUGUGGCUAAUGUCAUCAAAGGUGAACUUCUCCAUAUCUGGCUCUAGCAGCACAUGAUCAAUAUCAACUAAAGGUGACUCCUCAAUAUAAAAAACAACUAACUGCAGCUCUGGCUCAUCCAUGGAAGAAUCAUCACAAUGCAAAACUAAAUCUCCAACACUAGUAUCCAUAUGAUCUGAAGUGUGUGUGUCAACUAGGAUGGUGUCAUCAUCAUCAUCAAAGAUAAUCCAUGAAAGCUCAAUCUUGUUACACGGAGAAACUGGUUCCGACUUUUGUGUAAGAGAUUCUUGCUGAGAUGAAGUGAUUUGUUGCAAACAAGCAACUGAAUCAGAGAUGGGCUUCUCAUUGUACCACUGAAGUUGGUGGAAGGCUAUACUCUCAAUCAGCAGAAAAGCAUCAUCAAGUGUCUUGUUUGUAAUAGCUCCACCCGCUGCCAUAUCGAUGUAAGCUCGAGUGUCCGAAGUCAAUCCUCUAUAGAAUAUCUGCAACUCUAACCAUCUCUCGAGCCCGUGGUUAGGACAUCUCCUGAAUAAAACCUUGUAUCUCUCCCAAGCAUCAUACAAGCUCUCGUAUUCACGCUGAAUGAAAUUGAAGAUCUCAUCUCGAAUCACAGACUGCUUGUGUAGUGGGAAAUAUCUAUCCAAGAAAGCUCGUGAUAUCUCAUUCCAACUGUAUGACCUUGAUGGCAAGGAUCGAUACCAAGCAUGAGUAUCAUCACGGAGAGAGAAUGUGAACAACCUGCACAUGAUUGCAUCUUGAGGAACUCCAUGGUACUUGACUGUAUCUGAAUACUCCAUGACUCGGUGUAAGUGCUCAUAGGGAUCCUCAGUAGGCAGUCCUCCAAACUGUUGUUGUUGAACCAAAGCAAUAAGACUAGGUUUCAGCUCGAAGUUCUCUGCCUCAAUAGUUGGCCAAAUCGGUCCUGUGAUAUAGCACUGACUUUUGGGCAUCCAAAGAUCACGAAGCAAUGCCAUCUUAACCGAGUGUAACUAUACCUGCAAUUAGUUCAGAUUUCCUACAAACACUCAUAAACAGUAAACACUGGUCAGAAAGUUAGUAUCCUAAUAAGCCGAAGCAACAAAAAGUAAAAAGGUAAAAGAAGCACAGAAAUCAAUUUGAAUGGAAAUUUAAACAAAAACUAAACUAAGCCUAGUCUAUAGCUUCACACAAUCGUUCGACGCUAGUCCCCGGCAACGGCGCCAAAAUGAUCAAUCGAAAGUAUAGUGGGGUUUUUACGACCAAACUACGGAUGUCGUGUUCUCCACAGGGACUAGGCAAAUCGAUGAUCGUGCUUGGCUAAAGCUAGGUAACACAAUUCAGCUUAUGAAUGCAAACAUAAAACCUAAACUAUCAAUGAUUGUCGCCAAAGAAAAUGCAGAUAAGCAAAGGUAGAUUCAGAUUUUACUUGAUGUAUUUUUUUGGUGUUUUUGUUUUAGUUGAGAAAUAAAAUGCUAACACAAGCAAACAUCAAUGGCUAGGGAAUUAAAAAGACAUGAACAUAUAUAUAACUCGCUAACAUAUAACAGGGGGAAGAAACAUAAUUAUGUGACGAGAGAAAGAAGCUUCACAUCACCAACAUAUAUGUCAAAGGGACAAAGCUAGCACUGAUCACACAUAACAUGCACUAUAUCUUACAAGUACGAUACUGAACAAAUAUCAGGUUGCAAGAUCUUAUCAAAUCUGAAUAUUACAUGUACUACACGUCUCAAAUUUCAGAAAAUUCAGAGAUUAGAGGGAGAAAGAGAGAUAGGAGCAGCAAGAUUGAGGAGAGAGCAUCAACAAAGGGAGGUUGAGAGAGAGAUUCAGCAAAGGGUGUUGGAGAAGGAGAAGCAGCAGGGGGUGUAGCAAUAGAGAAGCAGCAAGGUGGCGCUAGAGAGAAGAAGAGGCGCAAGGAGAGAGGUUGAGAGCAGCAGCGGCGACAGGUAGAAGAAGUUGAGCGGAGGAGGAGCAGCAGUAGGGACGAGGGGAGGAGCAGCAGCGAAGGGGUUGAGAGAGAGAGAGAGAGAGACAGCAGGAGGUUGGAGUUCAGAGCAGCAGCAGCGUGGAGGGUUGAGAGAGUAGCAGCAGAGGAAUAGAAGAAGGAGCAGUAGCUUGGGCGCAAGAAGAGCAGCAGGGGCGCAUAGGAAGAAGGAGCAGCAGCAGGUUGCAUGGAAGAAGGAGCAGCAGCAGGGGACGUUGAGAGAGAAGAGGAGCAAGAGCGGGGCAGCAAGGAGGAGAGAGGCGCUUGGUGCUGAUGGCGGCAGUGGCUGGAGAUGGUGGCGCUAGUGGAGUGGUGGAUGGAGGCUGCUGGUGGUGGGUAUGCUGGUGGAUGGAUAGGUGACGGAG